Molecule: ribosomal RNA, 253 nt
Filed under: uncultured bacterium
Lineage: Bacteria
Description: partial 16S ribosomal RNA
Rfam family: Bacterial small subunit ribosomal RNA
Source: RNAcentral
UACGGAGGGGGUUAGCGUUGUUCGGAAUCACUGGGCGUAAAGAGCGUGUAGGCGGAUAAAUAAGUUUGAAGUGAAAUCCUGUGGCUCAACCAUAGAACUGCUUUGAAAACUGUUUAUCUAGAAUAUGGGAGAGGUAGAUGGAAUUUCUGGUGUAGGGGUAAAAUCCGUAGAGAUCAGAAGGAAUACCGAUUGCGAAGGCGAUCUACUGGAACAUUAUUGACGCUGAGACGCGAAAGCGUGGGGAGCAAACAGG